GUGGGGAAUAUUGGACAAUGGGGGGAACCCUGAUCCAGCCAUGCCGCGUGUGUGAAGAAGGCCUUUUGGUUGUAAAGCACUUUAAGCGAGGAGGAGGCUACCGAGAUUAAUACUCUUGGAUAGUAGACGUUACUCGCAGAAUAAGCACCGGCUAACUCUGUGCCAGCAGCCGCGGUAAUACAGAGGGUGCAAGCGUUAAUCGGAAUUACUGGGCGUAAAGCGCGCGUAGGUGGUUUUGUAAGUUGGAGGUGAAAUCCCCGGGCUCAACCUGGGAACUGCCUCCAAAACUGCAUGACUAGAGUACGGUAGAGGGUAGUGGAAUUUCCGGUGUAGCGGUGAAAUGCGUAGAGAUCGGGAGGAACAUCCGUGGCGAAGGCGGCCAUCUGGACCAGCACUGACACUGAGGCACGAAAGCGUGGGGAGCAAACAGGAUUAGAAACCCUUGUGUCC
Molecule: ribosomal RNA, 450 nt
Filed under: uncultured bacterium
Lineage: Bacteria
Description: partial 16S ribosomal RNA
Rfam family: Bacterial small subunit ribosomal RNA
Source: RNAcentral